UACGAAGGGGGCUAGCGUUGUUCGGAAUCACUGGGCGUAAAGGGCGCGUAGGCGGCUUUAUAAGUCGGGGGUGAAAGCCUGUGGCUCAACCACAGAAUUGCCUUCGAUACUGUAGAGCUUGAGACCGGAAGAGGUAAGUGGAACUGCGAGUGUAGAGGUGAAAUUCGUAGAUAUUCGCAAGAACACCGGUGGCGAAGGCGGCAUCCUGGACCGGCAUUGACGCUGAUGAGCGAAAGCCAGGGGAGCAAACGGG
RNAcentral lists this ribosomal RNA (253 nucleotides) under uncultured prokaryote. Its description in RNAcentral is "partial 16S ribosomal RNA". It matches the Rfam family "Bacterial small subunit ribosomal RNA", at positions 524 to 776 of the family's 1533-position model. The record is from RNAcentral.